This 500-nucleotide ribosomal RNA is filed under the name uncultured bacterium. Its description in RNAcentral is "partial 16S ribosomal RNA". It matches the Rfam family "Bacterial small subunit ribosomal RNA", at positions 28 to 507 of the family's 1533-position model. The record is from RNAcentral.
GAUGAACGCUGGCGGCGUGCUUAACACAUGCAAGUCGAACGAAGCACCUCUCCCGAUGAUUGACACAGCUUGCUGUAGAUUGAUUCAUUUGAGGUGACUGAGUGGCGGACGGGUGAGUAACGCGUGGGUAACCUGCCUCAUAGAGGGGGACAACAGUUGGAAACGACUGCUAAUACCGCAUAGUAAGAAGAAUUCGCAUGUUUUCUUCUUGAAAGAUUUAUCGGUAUGAGAUGGACCCGAGGCGGAUUAGCUAGUUGGUAAGGUAGGGGCUUACCAAGGCGUGGAGGGGUAGCCGGACUGAGAGGGGGACCGGCGACAUGGGGACGGAGAGACGGCGCAGACUGCUACGGGAGGCAGCAGGGGGGAAGAUUGCACAAGGGGCGGAAGGCUGAUGCAGAAACGCCGCGGGCGGGAUGACGGGCUUCGGGUUGUAAACCGCUUUCGCCUGGGACGAAGCGUGAGUGACGGUAAUGGGUAAAGAAGCACCGGCUAACUACGUG